AAUUUAAAAUCUGCUGGUCUUUGGCCAUCCGAGUUGUAAUUUAGAGAAGCGUCUUCCGCGCUGGACCGUGCACAAGUCUCCUGGAAUGGAGCGUCAUAGAGGGUGAGAAUCCCGUCUUUGGCACGGAUGUACCAGGGCUUUUGUGAUGCGCUCUCGAAGAGUCGAGUUGUUUGGGAAUGCAGCUCAAAAUGGGUGGUGAACUCCAUCUAAAGCUAAAUAUUGGCGAGAGACCGAUAGCGAACAAGUACCGUGAGGGAAAGAUGAAAAGCACUUUGGAAAGAGAGUGAAACAGUACGUGAAAUUGUUGAAAGGGAAACGCUUGAAGUCAGUCGCGUCGACCGAGACUCAGCCUUGCCUCGGCUUGGUGUACUUCUCGGCUGACGGGUCAGCAUCAAUUUUGCCCCUUGGAUAAUGGCGAGGGAAAUGUGACACCUUUACGGUGUGUUAUAGUCUUUCGUCGCAUGCAAGGGUCGGGAUUGAGGAACUCAGCACGCGCCCUCGGGCGUCGGGGCUUUGCCCACGAUACGUGCUUAGGAUGUUGGCGUAAUGGCUUUAAACGACCCGUCUUGAAACACGGACCAAGGAGUCUAACAUGCCUGCGAGUGUUCGGGUGGAAAACCCGUGCGCGCAAUGAAAGUGAAAGUUGGGACCUCUGUCGUGGAGGGCACCGACGCCCGGACCAGACCUUUUGUGACGGCUCUGCGGUAGAGCAUGUAUGUUAGGACCCGAAAGAUGGUGAACUAUGCCUGAAUAGGGUGAAGCCAGAGGAAACUCUGGUGGAGGCUCGUAGCGAUUCUGACGUGCAAAUCGAUCGUCAAAUUUGGGUAUAGGGGCGAAAGACUAAUCGAACCAUCUAGUAGCUGGUUCCUG
RNAcentral lists this ribosomal RNA (870 nucleotides) under Russula versicolor. RNAcentral describes it as "LSU rRNA". It matches the Rfam family "Eukaryotic large subunit ribosomal RNA", at positions 112 to 960 of the family's 3401-position model. The record is from RNAcentral. Lineage: Eukaryota; Fungi; Basidiomycota; Agaricomycetes; Russulales; Russulaceae.